This is a non-coding RNA of Triticum urartu, 126 nucleotides long. The record is from Rfam. Lineage: Eukaryota; Viridiplantae; Streptophyta; Magnoliopsida; Poales; Poaceae.
CAUAUACUUCCUCCGUCCGAAAAAACUUGUCCCUCAAAUGGAUGUAUUUAAGACUAAGUUAGUGCUACAUACAUCCAUUUGAGAGACAAGCUUUGGACAAUCUUUUCUGGACGGAGGGAGUAGAUG